UACGGAGGGGGUUAGCGUUGUUCGGAAUGACUGGGCGUAAAGCGCGCGUAGGCGGAUCGCAAAGUCGGGGGUGAAAUCCCGGGGCUCAACCCCGGAAUGGCCUUCGAGACUCGCGGUCUGGAGUUCGAGAGAGGUGGGUGGAAUUCCGAGUGUAGAGGUGAAAUUCGUAGAUAUUCGGAGGAACACCAGUGGCGAAGGCGGCCCACUGGCUCGACACUGACGCUGAGGCGCGAAAGCGCGGGGAGCAAACAGG
Molecule: ribosomal RNA, 253 nt
Filed under: uncultured bacterium
Lineage: Bacteria
Description: partial 16S ribosomal RNA
Rfam family: Bacterial small subunit ribosomal RNA
Source: RNAcentral